RNAcentral lists this small RNA (29 nucleotides) under Bombyx mori (domestic silkworm). RNAcentral describes it as "ovarian small RNA-24819". Lineage: Eukaryota; Metazoa; Arthropoda; Insecta; Lepidoptera; Bombycidae. The record is from RNAcentral.
UCAAUAUGCGUUCAAUAUGGGAUAAGCCC